CCAGACUCCUACGGGAGGCAGCAGUGGGGAAUAUUGGGCAAUGGGCGCAAGCCUGACCCAGCAAUGCCGCGUGAAGGAAGAAGGCUUUCGGGUUGUAAACUUCUUUGACAGGGGAAGAGCAGAAGACGGUACCCUGAAAACAAGCCACGGCUAACUACGUGCCAGCAGCCGCGGUAAUACGUAGGUGGCAAGCGUUGUCCGGAUUUACUGGGUGUAAAGGGCGUGUAGCCGGGAAGGCAAGUCAGAUGUGAAAUCUGGAGGCUCAACCUGUGGCCUGCAUUUGAAACUGUUUUUCUUGAGUACUGGAGAGGCAGACGGAAUUCCUAGUGUAGCGGUGAAAUGCGUAGAUAUUAGGAGGAACACCAGUGGCGAAGGCGGUCUGCUGGACCGUGACUGACGUUGAGGCUCGAGAGCGUGGGGAGCAAACAGGAUUAGAUACCCUAGUA
Molecule: ribosomal RNA, 446 nt
Filed under: uncultured bacterium
Lineage: Bacteria
Description: bacterial SSU rRNA
Rfam family: Bacterial small subunit ribosomal RNA
Source: RNAcentral